GUGUUUAUAAUGAAGUUUGACCAAAUAUGCCUACAUAUCUGAUUACAGAGCAGUUUAUUAGAAGUGAGAGAGAAGAGAGAGAAAUUGUGAUUCAUUGAUUAUAGCAAAGUUAGUUACAACUGAAAGUGAUUCUUAUCUUAUAUAAGAAUCUGAAAACUAACUAGGAGAUAUUCUAGAAGCAGUAUUACAAAGCUAAACUGAGCUUAGCCAUCUAGAGUACUAUAUAUCUCUAAUACAGUUAACUGCUCUAUAAUCAGAGAUGUAGGCGCUAACAAAGAACUACAACUAAAUAGGGACGAGUGAGCAGAACGAGUGGUUCAAGGGUAUUAUUGUAAUUUGGACUUUGUGAAUCUUAAUUCUUUUCACUUAUACCCCCUAAAAGAAUUAGAUUCACAAAUGAGUCAUACACUACAAAAUUGAAUUUU
RNAcentral lists this long non-coding RNA (425 nucleotides) under Trifolium pratense (red clover). RNAcentral's name for it is "long non-coding RNA (TPRA_LNC007521)". The record is from RNAcentral. Lineage: Eukaryota; Viridiplantae; Streptophyta; Magnoliopsida; Fabales; Fabaceae.